AGGUUUGUUAUAUGGGAUGUAUAGGCAAAAAUCCCUUAUGUUAAUUAUAUGGAACCCAUAAAACGUAACUUAUCAAUGAACUCCAAAGUUAACUGUUUCAGCACAAAACAAAAAGAUAUUUUUGUAAACUCAAUACUGGAUAACUAAGUGGAUAGUCAUGCUUGAUAUUACUUUUAGAGCUAAAAACGAGUUAACAAACAGUGCCUGAUUAUUUGAAAUUAUGCUCAAAAUCUGUAAUUAGUAAUGACUUAAAGAGUUUUCACACCAGGUACGAUUAUCAAGCACCACACAUGCGAAUCAACAUGACUUACAAAUCAUUCAACCUUAACAGUUUACAAUCUCAUUAAUACAAUUGGAAAUAUGAUACAAGUGAAUCAAUCAAACUAAAAUUUCUAAACUAAGCAAUAAAGGCAGAAAGUACAGAUGUAAACAUGCAGUUCCUCAUCAUUUAAACUUCAAAAUGGUUUUCCACAUGUGAAUAUAAUUUUCAGUAUCACUUGAGCAUGAGAAUAUACCUGGAAAUAGAAUAGAAGUGAAGAAGAAGAAGUCAGCUAAGACAGUAACGAGAACCAACAAUAAACAACACCCAUCAAUGUUGAACAACAAGCAGCAAAUGAUCAAAAGCAGCCCAGAAAUAGAUUCAAAAGUCCAGAAAUGUUGGAAAUCAAACAGGACCAAUAGAUCAACCCAAAACAAGCUUGAAUAAACCCAAACCAGCAAGCAAUUGAACCCAGAAAUCAAGCACACUCAGCAACUAACCCAAUAUCUAACUCGACCCAAUCAAAUUUCAUUCAACAAAUGAUUCCAAACACCUUUAAAUCUCAAAUAUUGAACAGAAAUAGGGAAAUUCAAGAUAUAUUGGUUUCGACAUAAGCUAGAGAAUUGAACUAAGGCUGGAAUUCGAAAAUGAAGUAAGGAAAAGCAAUGUAACAUUGUAUUUGGAUUUUCUGUUGUUUUUUUAUUUUUCUGAAUUUUUUGAAGGAAGCUAAGAUCUAAAGGAGUUUGGAUUUGAAAUUCAAAUUUCAGAUCUAUGAAACUUGAAGAAUGUUUUGGGGGGAAUGUUUAGAGGCUGAGAAACUUGUUUUUUAUGGCAAAAGGGAUUGCCUUUUAUGGGCAAAAGAGAGGGGAUGCCCUCAGAUUUUUCUAUUUUCUUUCUAAUUCUUUUUAAAAUUUCAUUUUUGCCUAAGUGUCCCUAAAGUUGUGACUUGUGUUUCAAGUAAUACCAUUAUAUUGCCUGAAAUUUUAUUUUGGACCCUAUCUAGAAGACUCUAGGGAGUUCUUAUUCAGCUACUUGUAAGAUUCCCUAUUUGAAUUGCCUAUUUUGCCCUUACUCUUUCCCCUAAAUUACUAACUACAUCUUCUAACCAACCCAACCCUUUAACCUUAGUUAGGAUUUGACUAUAACUAAACUUAACAAUUCUAAUUCAGCUAUAUCCAAAUAACUAAUAGAAAAUUCAAACAAUUCAACAAAAAUUUAGCCCUAAUUAAUGCUAAAUAUGAAUUAAAACCACAAUUAAAACAACAAAUUUAUACUUACAAUUAACAUCUUAAUGAAAAUUAAGAUUCAAACUCAAGUCAGAUUAAGCGGAAUCAAAAUGGUAUGAAGAGCAGAACAGAUUAUUCAAUUGAAACCCUAUGAACUAAACAUUGAUUAAUCAAUAGAAAAAUGGGAACUAAAAUGUAAUUCAAAUAAGAAAUUAUUCACGAAAUCACAUAAUCAACUAACAUUAGAAACUAUGUAGGUAUAAUCAUCACAGACAAAAAUUAAACUAGAAAUCAAAAAUUAUGAAGAAAACAAAAUUAAACAAAGAAGAAGGGAGAUGAACAACACUCACUGAUUUGAGUCUUCAACUUGACUGAAUCCAUACAUGGUCUUCAAAUAGUAUUAUGCAUUUGUUCUUACUAAGAGCAAACACAUAAUACAAUUUGAAACCAUAUGAGCCCUUGGCUAACCCUAGAAAUUCCAGAACCUUUGACGGAAACCCUAGAUCUAAAAUUCAUGCAGUUCUACUUAAAUUCGAAAAAUUUUGAUUUGGGAUUUGGGAAGAGGAAGGUUGGGAGAGUGUUGGGUGUGAAUUUGCGGUCGUUUGGAUAAACUUGUAUUUUAACAGGAAACUUCGAUUUAAUAUUCGAAACGUUUCGCUGAUAUUCGAGGAAAAAUGGUUACAGAUUUGGGCUGAGGGAGUUGAGGAGAUUCAUGGGUGUAUUUUUGGUUAACUUUGGAGCAUCGCCGCCGAAAAAGGCAAUUUUCAGCCGGCGGCGAACGGUGGAAGAUGGUGAAGCACAUGGGGGUAUGAGGAAGAUGAAGUGUUGUCUCUAGGUUUUCUGAAGAGUUUAGGAA
Molecule: long non-coding RNA, 2341 nt
Filed under: Nicotiana benthamiana
Lineage: Eukaryota; Viridiplantae; Streptophyta; Magnoliopsida; Solanales; Solanaceae
Description: long non-coding RNA (NBEN_LNC029474)
Source: RNAcentral